This is a small nuclear RNA of Phragmites australis (common reed), 128 nucleotides long. RefSeq annotates it as U4 spliceosomal RNA. Lineage: Eukaryota; Viridiplantae; Streptophyta; Magnoliopsida; Poales; Poaceae. The record is from RefSeq and is a predicted model, not a curated record. The transcript has a single exon.
CAUUUUGCGCUUGGGGCAAUGACGCAGCUAGUGAGAUCAUACCGACACGCGUUAAUUGCUGGUUGAAAACUAUUUUCAUACCUCCUCUUUAGCCCUGGGCCAGUGAGAAUUUCUGGAAGGAGUCCUCC